This 495-nucleotide ribosomal RNA is filed under the name uncultured bacterium. Its description in RNAcentral is "bacterial SSU rRNA". It matches the Rfam family "Bacterial small subunit ribosomal RNA", at positions 24 to 518 of the family's 1533-position model. The record is from RNAcentral.
UCAGGAUGAACGCUGGCGGCGUGCCUAACACAUGCAAGUCGACGAAGCACUCCGGUUGAGAUUCGUCAAGAACUGGAUUGACUAGUGGCGGACGGGUGAGUAAUGUAUGAGCAACCUGCCUUUCAGAGGGGGACAACAGUUGGAAACGACUGCUAAUACCGCAUAAUGUAUUUGGGUGGCACCACUUGGAUACCAAAGGAGCAAUCCGCUGAAAGAUGGGCUCAUAUCUGAUUAGUUAGUUGGUGAGGUAACGGCUCACCAAGACUGCGAUCAGUAGCCGGACUGAGAGGUUGAACGGCCACAUUGGGACUGAGAUACGGCCCAGACUCCUACGGGAGGCAGCAGGUGGGGAAUAUUGGGCAAUGGGCGAAAGCCUGACCCAGCAACGCCGCGUGAGUGAAGAAGGCCUUCGGGUUGUAAAGCUCUGUUAUAGGGGACGAAGGAAGUGACGGUACCCUAUAAGGAAGCCCCGGCUAACUACGUGCCAGCAGCAGC